CACGUAGGGUGCGAGCGUUGUCCGGAAUUAUUGGGCGUAAAGAGCUCGUAGGCGGUGUGUCGCGUCGGCCGUGAAAUCCCGCGGCUCAACCGCGGGUCUGCAGUCGAUACGGGCAGGCUAGAGUUCGGUAGGGGAGACUGGAAUUCCUGGUGUAGCGGUGAAAUGCGCAGAUAUCAGGAGGAACACCGGUGGCGAAGGCGGGUCUCUGGGCCGAUACUGACGCUGAGGAGCGAAAGCGUGGGGAGCGAACAGG
Molecule: ribosomal RNA, 253 nt
Filed under: uncultured bacterium
Lineage: Bacteria
Description: partial 16S ribosomal RNA
Rfam family: Bacterial small subunit ribosomal RNA
Source: RNAcentral